GCCUAAGACAUGCAAGUCGAACGGGUGGCCCACAGAUUCAAAGGAAGUUGAGUGCUUGCACAAGAAUGGAAUUUGAUGACGUGGAAUUUCCACCUAGUGGCGCAAGGGUGAGUAACACGUGGGUAAUCUGCCUUAGAGCCUGGGAUAACAGUUGGAAACGAUUGCUAAUACCGGAUGAUAUAAGAGUCGUAAAGAUUCUUAUUAAAAGGUGCCUUUAAAGCAUCACUUUAAGAUGAGCCUGCGGCGUAUUAGCUAGUUGGUGGGGUAAAGGCCUACCAAGGCAACGAUGCGUAGCCGACCUGAGAGGGUGAACGGCCACACUGGGACUGAGACACGGCCCAGACUCCUACGGGAGACAGCAGUUAGGAAUAUUCGUCAAUGGGGGAAACCCUGAACGAGCAAUGCCGCGUGAAGGAAGACGGUCCUCUGGAUUGUAAACUUCUGUUGUUAGGGAAGAACGGUAAGUAUAGGAAAUGAUACUUAAGUGACGGUACCUUUCAAGAAAGCAUCGGCUAACUACGUGCCAGCAGCGGC
This 534-nucleotide ribosomal RNA is filed under the name uncultured bacterium. Its description in RNAcentral is "bacterial SSU rRNA". It matches the Rfam family "Bacterial small subunit ribosomal RNA", at positions 46 to 518 of the family's 1533-position model. The record is from RNAcentral.